AAAAAGCCUUCGCCAGCUCAUCACCACCAUCAUCAUCUCCUCCUUUAAAAAGAAAGCUAGGGACUACUUCAUCGCCUUCUUUCGUUUCGCCUUUAAUCUAUAGCCUUUUUGUUUUUGCGGUUUCUCUCGAUCAGCUAAGUUUCGAUCCAUUCUUGUUCUAGCUUUUCAAUAGCUUCUCCUCCUUCGCUUUCUUCGUUUCUGUUCUCAGAUCUAUUCUCUAUUGAUUUCAGAUCUAGAUCUAGGGUUUGUUCGAAUAAAAAUUGGGGGAAUUUGAAAAAGAAGGAAUGAUUGUAGGUUCUCUAUGAGCUACUCAGUUCUUCUUCGUCGUAUUCGCAUAGUCCACUCUUUCUCCGUCGUUUAUCUCUACUAUACCUACGUCUUCUCAUGAACUAAUCGUUUCCGAUCUCAUCUCGAAUAAACAUUUCUGAGUUUUUUUUUUCCAUUCAAUCUAAACCGAUUCUUUGAUAGAUUAGAGAGCGGGGAAUUUAAGAUCUUUGUGUAGAAUUUGGGGGUAAUUUAUAGGGAUUUUAGAAAAAAAAUUAUAUUAUUAUAUUGUUUUAAUUUUGGUGAGGAAAAAGUCAAAAAGUCAACGGAAAUGGGGUCGAAAAGUCCUGAUUACGACAACGAUCCGAGGUACGCUUCCGUCACGGACGAGAGGAAGAGGAAGAGAAUGAUCUCCAACAGAGAGUCCGCCCGGAGAUCAAGGAUGAGGAAGCAGAAGCAGCUCGGCGAUCUCAUCAACGAGGUUACCGUUCUCAAGAACGAUAACGCCAAGAUCACCGAGCAGGUUGACGCGGCGACGAGGAGGUACGUCGAGAUGGAGUCCAAGAACGACGUCUUGAGAGCGCAAGCGGUUGAGCUGACGGAGAGGUUGAGGUCGUUGAACUCUGUGCUGGAGAUGGUUGAGGAGAUUAGUGGUCAGGCUUUGGAUAUUCCUGAGAUUCAGAACCCUUGGCAGAUUCCUUGUCCGAUUAUGCAUACCAAUCAUGGCUUCUGCUGAUAUGUUUGAAUGCUCUGAGGAUUUACUCAUUGUCUUGUCCGUUCGAGUUUUGUAACAACUAGAGUCAUUGGUGUGUGUCAUCUUUAUAAAAACUUCAGUCUCUUGUUUUUUCAGUUAUUUCAGUUUGUGUGGUCUUGCGGUUGUCUUUUAUUCUUGUGUCGUCUAUUACAUAAGAUAAGGUUGUCAUGUAUUUGUGUUUCUAGAUGAAUUCAAGCUUUGUGUUGUUUUUCUUA
Molecule: RNA transcript, 1233 nt
Organism: Brassica oleracea var. oleracea
Lineage: Eukaryota; Viridiplantae; Streptophyta; Magnoliopsida; Brassicales; Brassicaceae
Gene name: ocs element-binding factor 1-like
Exons: 1
Source: RefSeq, a predicted model, not a curated record